This is a non-coding RNA of Myotis lucifugus (little brown bat), 75 nucleotides long. NCBI's taxonomy places the organism in Eukaryota, Metazoa, Chordata, Mammalia, Chiroptera, Vespertilionidae. The record is from Rfam.
GGUGGUUCUCGGGUGACACACCCCAGAAUCAGGCUCCCUCCUCUCUGGUUCUGGGUACGUCACCCGAGAACCACA